This 940-nucleotide ribosomal RNA is filed under the name Tuber sp. CMU-MTUF1. Its description in RNAcentral is "eukaryotic LSU rRNA". It matches the Rfam family "Eukaryotic large subunit ribosomal RNA", at positions 24 to 978 of the family's 3401-position model. The record is from RNAcentral. Lineage: Eukaryota; Fungi; Ascomycota; Pezizomycetes; Pezizales; Tuberaceae.
CCCGGUUGGAACUAAGCAUAUCAAUAAGCGGAGGAAAAGAAACCAACAGGGAUUGCCUUAGUAACGGCGAGUGAAGCGGCAAAAGCUCAAAUUUGAAAUCUAGCACUUUUGGUGUUCGAGUUGUACUUUGAAGAGGCAUCUUCUGGAGGGACCCAGCCUAUGUGCCUUGGAACAGGACGUCAUAGAGGGUGAGAAUCCCGUCCUUGGCUGGAUGUUUCCUCCUGUAUGUAGUGUCUUCUACGAGUCGAGUUGUUUGGGAAUGCAGCUCAAAAUGGGUGGUAAAUUUCAUCUAAAGCUAAAUACUGGCGAGAGACCGAUAGCGCACAAGUAGAGUGAUCGAAAGAUGAAAAGCACUUUGAAAAUAGAGUCAAACAGUACGUGAAAUUGUUGAAAGGGAAGCGCUUGAGACCAGAGUCAGCCUUUGGCAAACAACUGUCCUUCUGGGCGGUGCACUUGUCAUUGGUUGGGCCAGCAUCGGUUGGGACGGUGGGAUAAAGGCCAGGGGAAUGUGACUCCUUCGUGGAGUGUUAUAGCCUCAGGUGCCAUGCUGUCUGUCCCGACCGUGGACCGCGCCUCGGCUCGGAUGUUGGCUUAAUGGUCUUCAGCGACCCGUCUUGAAACACGGACCAAGGAGUCUAACGUCUAUGCAAGUGUUUGGGCUUCAAACCCUCACGCGUAAUGAAAGUAAACGGAGGUGGGAAUCCUGUAAGGGGUGCACCAUCGACCGAUCCUGAUGUCUUCGGAUGGAUUUGAGUAGGAGCAUAGCUGUUGGGACCCGAAAGAUGGUGAACUAUGCCUGAAUAGGGUGAAGCCAGAGGAAACUCUGGUGGAGGCUCGCAGCGGUUCUGACGUGCAAAUCGAUCGUCAAAUUUGGGUAUAGGGGCGAAAGACUAAUCGAACCAUCUAGUAGCUGGUUCCUGCCGAAUUUUCUCCCUCAGGA